This 400-nucleotide unclassified non-coding RNA is filed under the name uncultured fungus. Its description in RNAcentral is "sequence contains ITS1". Lineage: Eukaryota; Fungi. The record is from RNAcentral.
CCGUCAAUUCCUUUGAGUUUUAGCCUUGCGACCGUACUUCCCAGGCGGUCCACUUAACACUUUUGCUUCGACCAUGACGGCGUCAGAGCCGCCACAAUCUAGUGGACAUCGUUUAGGGCCAGGACUACCGGGGUAUCUAAUCCCGUUUGCUCCCCUGGCUUUCGCGUCUCAGUGUCAGAUCACUCCCAGCAGCCUGCUUUCGCCUUUGGCGUUCCAAAUGAUAUCUACGCAUUUCACCGCUCCACCAUUUGUUCCAGCUGCCCCUAAGUGCCUCAAGACAAGCAGUAUAUCCAGCAGUUCCACGGUUGAGCCGUGGGAUUUCACAAGAUACUUACCCGUCCACCUACACGCGCUUUAAGCCCAGUGAUUCCGCCUAACGCUUGGCACCUCUGUAUUACCG